AAAUGCAUUCAGAUACGUUUGUACAUAUCUACAAUUCUCUGUGGUUGCAUGUAUAAUUGUUACUUUUAAGUUUUAGCUUCGUGUAGUUCAGUAUAUACACUGUUGUGAACCAGUUGUGAGAGGACGUCCACAAGGUGACGUCCUUUACACGUGCAUUUAUAGUCCAUCAUGACCCUGUAUGAAAUCAGUAUGAAAUAUGCUAAAGAAAUUGUGCUUACAUCUUGAUUAUUACUGUAAUAAUUUAUUUAAGUGGCCCAAGUAGUUUUAAGAGGCUGCGAAUAGACGACCUCGUCUAGUCAAGCAUUACCCAUUAAAAAUAAAAAUUAAAAAUAAAAUGAGUAAGUAAGUAAAUAAAUAAAAACAGGAAAUCGUAAUGAAAUACAAGUAAUUUGUAUUUACAUCUUGUUUAAUGAAUAUUCACAAAGUGCUGUGUGGUUAAGUGAUUACAAAGCCACUGAAUUUUAGUCAUAAUUCUGCCCGUUUUCCUUAAAUUGCAAUACGAUUUUAUUAUUUUAAGUUUAUGCAUAUACAUAUAAAACAAAUAUCUCCAGUCACCAUUUGAAGUCUGAGUUGGGUGUAGAUUGCCAAAACUGUGCUGCCAAGAUGUUGUAACAAAUCUCGCGAUAGGAUAGAUCAUCUCGCGAUAGGAUAGAUUAUCUCGCGAUGGGAUAGAUUAGCUCGCAAUACAAUACAUUAUCUCGCGAGAAAACUUUAACACGUUGUUGUCGUUCCAUAACCAGGAGGAGAGCGCGUCGUUGUGUUGCAAAGCUUUACGAAUUAUUAAAAAUCUACUGGUGGUGGAUGCACAACAUGACACCAUCAACGUCAACAACACUCGUGGACCCGUGGACACAUGUUGAGGUGGUCACAUAACGAACAGCCAUCUGUCAGGCCAUGUGCCACAACCGAACAAGUAUUGUCUCCAGUCCCAAAUGCUUCAUUGCCAUCCCAGUCCCAGAGGACCCCCAGUGUAUGUGAGAACUUUGCUGUCGCAUCUUAUUUUAUACACAUUAUACCUUAAUACCAACACAGCCUAAUGUAUAAAUACAUACAUUUCUCUGAAUCAGAAUUCAUACAGUUAAAAAUAUAGAGGCUACAAUGUCUGUCAUUGCUCAACAAGAGCUAAAGUACAGCCAGCUAAUUUGACAGUAACUAAUGCAGUAAAAUUGCACAGCAGCCUUAUUACUUUACCUUCAC
Long non-coding RNA from Labeo rohita (rohu), 1197 nucleotides. RefSeq lists it as uncharacterized. The record is from RefSeq and is a predicted model, not a curated record. The transcript has 4 exons. Lineage: Eukaryota; Metazoa; Chordata; Actinopteri; Cypriniformes; Cyprinidae.